Molecule: ribosomal RNA, 252 nt
Filed under: uncultured bacterium
Lineage: Bacteria
Description: partial 16S ribosomal RNA
Rfam family: Bacterial small subunit ribosomal RNA
Source: RNAcentral
UACGUAGGGUGCAAGCGUUGUCCGGAGUUACUGGGCGUAAAGAGUGCGUAGGCGGUUUUCUAAGUUUGGUGUGAAAUCUCCCGCUUAACUGGGAGGGUGCGCCGAAAACUGGAAGGCUUGAGUAUGGGAGAGGUAAGCGGAAUUCCUGGUGUAGCGGUGAAAUGCGUAGAUAUCAGGAGGAACACCUGCGGUGUAGACGGCUUACUGGACCAUAACUGACGCUGAGGCGCGAAAGCGUGGGUAGCAAACAGG